AGUGAACGCUGGCGGUAGGCCUAACACAUGCAAGUCGAACGGCAGCACAGUAAGAGCUUGCUCUUACGGGUGGCGAGUGGCGGACGGGUGAGGAAUACAUCGGAAUCUACUUUUUCGUGGGGGAUCACGUAGGGAAACUUACGCUAAUACCGCAUACGACCUACGGGUGAAAGCAGGGGAUCUUCGGACCUUGCGCGAUUGAAUGAGCCGAUGUCGGAUUAGCUAGUUGGCGGGGUAAAGGCCCACCAAGGCGACGAUCCGUAGCUGGUCUGAGAGGAUGAUCAGCCACACUGGAACUGAGACACGGUCCAGACUCCUACGGGAGGCAGCAGUGGGGAAUAUUGGACAAUGGGCGCAAGCCUGAUCCAGCCAUACCGCGUGGGUGAAGAAGGCCUUCGGGUUGUAAAGCCCUUUUGUUGGGAAAGAAAGGCAGCAGGUUAAUACCCCGCUGUUCUGACGGUACCCAAAGAAUAAGCACCGGCUAACUUCGUG
This 492-nucleotide ribosomal RNA is filed under the name uncultured bacterium. RNAcentral describes it as "partial 16S ribosomal RNA". It matches the Rfam family "Bacterial small subunit ribosomal RNA", at positions 29 to 507 of the family's 1533-position model. The record is from RNAcentral.